This 75-nucleotide transfer RNA is filed under the name Bryobacterales bacterium. RNAcentral's name for it is "tRNA-Gly". It matches the Rfam family "tRNA". Rfam says of the family: Transfer RNA (tRNA) molecules are approximately 80 nucleotides in length. Their secondary structure includes four short double-helical elements and three loops (D, anti-codon, and T loops). The record is from RNAcentral. Lineage: Bacteria; Pseudomonadati; Acidobacteriota; Terriglobia; Bryobacterales.
GCGGGAGUAGUUCAGUGGUAGAACGGCAGCUUCCCAAGCUGCAUGUCGCGGGUUCGAUCCCCGUCUCCCGCUCCA